GAAUGCUGACAUAAGUAACGAUAAAGCGGGUGAAAAGCCCGCUCGCCGGAAGACCAAGGGUUCCUGUCCAACGUUAAUCGGGGCAGGGUGAGUCGACCCCUAAGGCGAGGCCGAAAGGCGUAGUCGAUGGGAAACGGGUUAAUAUUCCCGUACUUGGUGUUACUGCGAAGGGGGGACGGAGAAGGCUAUGUUGGCCGGGCGACGGUUGUCCCGGUUUAAGCGUGUAGGUGUGUGUUCCAGGUAAAUCCGGUUCACUUUAACACUGAGGCGUGAUGACGAGGCACUACGGUGCUGAAGCAACAAAUGCCCUGCUUCCAGGAAAAGCCUCUAAGCAUCAGGUAACAUCAAAUCGUACCCCAAACCGACACAGGUGGUCAGGUAGAGAAUACCAAGGCGCUUGAGAGAACUCGGGUGAAGGAACUAGGCAAAAUGGUGCCGUAACUUCGGGAGAAGGCACGCUGACACGUAGGUGAAGUGAUUUACUCAUGGAGCUGAAGUCAGUCGAAGAUACCAGCUGGCUGC
RNAcentral lists this ribosomal RNA (522 nucleotides) under Salmonella enterica. Its description in RNAcentral is "partial 23S ribosomal RNA". It matches the Rfam family "Bacterial large subunit ribosomal RNA", at positions 1292 to 1797 of the family's 2925-position model. RNAcentral also lists the same sequence under 1 other name. The record is from RNAcentral. Lineage: Bacteria; Pseudomonadati; Pseudomonadota; Gammaproteobacteria; Enterobacterales; Enterobacteriaceae.